AUUGAACGCUGGCGGCAUGCCUUACACAUGCAAGUCGAACGGUAACGCGGGGGCAACCCUGGCGACGAGUGGCGAACGGGUGAGUAAUACAUCGGAACGUACCCAGUAGUGGGGGAUAGCUCGGCGAAAGCCGGAUUAAUACCGCAUACGACCUAUGGGUGAAAGCGGGGGAUCGCAAGACCUCGCGCUAUUGGAGCGGCCGAUGUCGGAUUAGCUAGUUGGUGAGGUAAAGCNCACCAAGGCUACGAUCCGUAGCUGGUCUGAGAGGACGACCAGCCACACUGGGACUGAGACACGGCCCAGACUCCUACGGGAGGCAGCAGUGGGGAAUUUUGGACAAUGGGCGAAANCCUGAUCCAGCCAUGCCGCGUGUGU
Molecule: ribosomal RNA, 375 nt
Filed under: uncultured bacterium
Lineage: Bacteria
Description: bacterial SSU rRNA
Rfam family: Bacterial small subunit ribosomal RNA
Source: RNAcentral